UUUCAUUUUUGUCUCGUAGCAUUAUUGGUAGUUUUAUUGUUUUCAGUGUUUUUGUUUUGUUUUUUUAAUAAGAUGUCAAUCGAAGCUAAAGAAAAGAAUGGUGCUACUUGUGUGACUUGGAAAACGUUACAAAGUCUCGCAUUUUCGAGCAGAGAAAUAAGUGAAACGUUCGAACUGAACACUCAAGGACGAAGCAACUUUUCCUUUAAAGUUUCAUUUACUCACUGCUUUAAGUUCAAUUGUUUAAGUUUAAAUACUGUUUGCAUUAAACUGUGCUUAUCGCUGAUCAAGUGCUCUACCAACACUAUUAGUUUGUGUGGAGGAAAAGACACCAUCUUUAAUUGUGACCAUAAUCUGCCUUGCUCUGUUUGGGUUACAAUCAACAAUGAUGAAGACAGAAGAAUAAAUUUGGAAAAAGCUGUUGGAUCAGACGAGUGGACUUCAAGAAAAUUUGGUAUCAGAACAUUUGGCUACCCAACCUUCCACUUUUGGUUGCAGUUCAGGACUGAUGAGAUUAACAAGUCCAGCAAAAUCAUCAUGAAACAGCUGACGGACGCCCAGCAAACACCAUUAGCCGAAGAUAAAGACAACGUGAAAGUUCCCAAGUCCAAGGAGUUCUGUCGUGGCAAGCUGAUUGCGCAGCAACUGGAGAAAGUGUUUGUCGAGCAAACGAACUGCGAUGUCGAAUUCUUGUUCGAAGACGAGGAGAAAAUCGGUGGCCAUAUCUCCAUCUUGGCUGCCAGAAGUCCCGUUUUCUCUGCCAUGUUUUACCACAACCUUCAAGAGUCCGAGACGGGCAAAAUCUUCGUCCAAGACAUCCGGCCACAGAUUUUCAAGGAGAUGCUUCACUAUAUUUACUCCGGCCAGACUUUGACUCCUUUGACGGACGCCAUCGCUCAACCUCUGUUCGUACUUUCAGUCAAAUACGAUAUCGAGGACCUGAAGGAGAAGUGCGUCCGUUAUCUGCUGAGAAGCGUUCGGACGAGUAAUGCCGUUGACUUAUUGGUCUGGGCAAAUCUUCAUUCGGUGGAGAAAAUCGAAGAAGCAGCUCUUGACUUUGUGGCCAGAAAUUUCAAAAUCAUUUGUCAGUCGAAUGAAUGGGAGAACCUGAUGAAGAACUAUCCGGAGCUUGGAUUCCUGGUGGCUCGACGUUAUGUAGCUGUUUAAGAAAUACGCCAGCCGAAGAGUUUUGUAUAACUUAAAAUGCGGUUCCAGCGUCACCGCCAAAAUCCACAUGUGUUCACGAUCCUCGCAAUAACAACACGUACACCAUGAUACUGGACACUUGAGCAAGUUGACUGCUUCGUGCAGAUUUGCUUUUUAUCGCACGGUCAGCUAGUAUGGCAUCCCUGAAUAGUGAUUUUCACGAAAUCUUUUCUUUUGGUGGUUCUUAUUGCCAAUCGAUAAUACGACGCGCUGAAAGUUAAUCACAUUAUAUUCUUGAGAAAUUAACAGGAUUUUUUGUACUAAAGUGUAAUGGUAACCAGUGACGUAGUUGUCCAUUUAGUCUAGUGUUAACAUUUUUACAACUUUUGAGAACUUAUUUUUAUUGACCGAGAAAAGAGGUUUCUAACAAGACUGUGUGCACAUCAUGAAAUGAAUCUAGAUUAAUCAUGUGUUUGAAUUUUGAAAUAUAGCUAAGGUUGCAGAGAAAUAUUU
Daphnia pulex (common water flea) is the source of this 1659-nucleotide RNA transcript. It is a transcript of the gene named BTB/POZ domain-containing protein At3g56230-like, with no coding region annotated. The record is from RefSeq and is a predicted model, not a curated record. The transcript has 4 exons. NCBI's taxonomy places the organism in Eukaryota, Metazoa, Arthropoda, Branchiopoda, Diplostraca, Daphniidae.